This 253-nucleotide ribosomal RNA is filed under the name uncultured bacterium. Its description in RNAcentral is "partial 16S ribosomal RNA". It matches the Rfam family "Bacterial small subunit ribosomal RNA", at positions 524 to 776 of the family's 1533-position model. The record is from RNAcentral.
UACGUAGGGUGCGAGCGUUAAUCGGAAUUACUGGGCGUAAAGCGCACGUAGGCGGCUUGGUAUGUCGGGUGUGAAAUCCCCGGGCUCAACCUGGGAACUGCAUCCGAAACUGCCUUGCUAGAGUAUGGGAGAGGGAAGUGGAAUUUCCGGUGUAGCGGUGAAAUGCGUAGAUAUCGGAAGGAACAUCAGUGGCGAAAGCGACUUCCUGGACCAAUACUGACGCUCAUGUGCGAAAGCGUGGGGAGCAAACAGG